UGAAUCGAAUGGAUUGCAAAUGGGG
RNAcentral lists this non-coding RNA (25 nucleotides) under Drosophila erecta. RNAcentral also lists the same sequence under 2 other names. Lineage: Eukaryota; Metazoa; Arthropoda; Insecta; Diptera; Drosophilidae. The record is from RNAcentral.